UCCGUAGGUGAACCUGCGGAGGGAUCAUUACCGAGUACUACACUCAUAACCCUUUGUGAACCAUUAUACCUGUUGCUUCGGCGGCGUCCCUCGCGGGCGCCCGCCGGUCUCAUCAGAAUCUCUGUUUUCGAACCCGACGAUACUUCUGAGUGUUCUUAGCGAACUGUCAAAACUUUUAACAACGGAUCUCUUGGCUCCAGCAUCGAUGAAGAACGCAGCGAAACGCGAUAUGUAAUGUGAAUUGCAGAAUUCAGUGAAUCAUCGAAUCUUUGAACGCACAUGGCGCCUUCCAGUAUCCUGGGAGGCAUGCCUGUCCGAGCGUCGUUUCAACCCUCGAGCCCUCGUGGCCCGGCGUUGGGGAUCUGCCACGGCAGGCCCCGAAAUACAGUGGCGGACCCGUUAGGCCCUUCCUUUGCGUAGUAGCAUUAGCCUCGCAUCGGGAGCCGGCGGGCUCUCCUGCCUCUAAACCCCCCAACAAGCCCGCUCCGGCGGCACCAAGGUUGACCUCGGAUCAGGUAGGAAUACCCGCUGAACUUAAGCAUAUCAAUAAGCGGAGGA
RNAcentral lists this ribosomal RNA (558 nucleotides) under Brunneochlamydosporium nepalense. RNAcentral describes it as "eukaryotic LSU rRNA". The stretch from base 171 to 324 matches the Rfam family "5.8S ribosomal RNA". Lineage: Eukaryota; Fungi; Ascomycota; Sordariomycetes; Glomerellales; Plectosphaerellaceae. The record is from RNAcentral.